GUGGGUAGUUUGACUGGGGCGGUCUCCUCCUAAAGAGUAACGGAGGAGCACGAAGGUUGGCUAAUCCUGGUCGGACAUCAGGAGGUUAGUGCAAUGGCAUAAGCCAGCUUGACUGCGAGCGUGACGGCGCGAGCAGGUGCGAAAGCAGGUCAUAGUGAUCCGGUGGUUCUGAAUGGAAGGGCCAUCGCUCAACGGAUAAAAGGUACUCCGGGGAUAACAGGCUGAUACCGCCCAAGAGUUCAUAUCGACGGCGGUGUUUGGCACCUCGAUGUCGGCUCAUCACAUCCUGGGGCUGAAGUAGGUCCCAAGGGUAUGGCUGUUCGCCAUUUAAAGUGGUACGCGAGCUGGGUUUAGAACGUCGUGAGACAGUUCGGUCCCUAUCUGCCGUGGGCGCUGGAGAACUGAGGGGGGCUGCUCCUAGUACGAGAGGACCGGAGUGGACGCAUCACUGGUGUUCGGGUUGUCAUGCCAAUGGCACUGCCCGGUAGCUAAAUGCGGAAGAGAUAAGUGCUGAAAGCAUCUAAGCACGAAACUUGCCCCGAGAUGAGUUCUCCCUGACUCCUUGAGGGUCCUGAAGGAACGUUGAAGACGACGACGUUGAUAGGCCGGGUGUGUAAGCGCAGCGAUGCGUUGAGCUAACCGGUACUAAUGAACCGUGAGGCUUAACCUUACAACGCCGAAG
Molecule: ribosomal RNA, 682 nt
Filed under: Escherichia coli
Lineage: Bacteria; Pseudomonadati; Pseudomonadota; Gammaproteobacteria; Enterobacterales; Enterobacteriaceae
Description: partial 23S ribosomal RNA
Rfam family: Bacterial large subunit ribosomal RNA
Source: RNAcentral